Phascolarctos cinereus (koala) is the source of this 3100-nucleotide long non-coding RNA. RefSeq lists it as uncharacterized. Lineage: Eukaryota; Metazoa; Chordata; Mammalia; Diprotodontia; Phascolarctidae. The record is from RefSeq and is a predicted model, not a curated record.
GAAUGGAGCCCACAGGGCCACUGUUUAAAGGGCUGUGGGGCAGGAGCACUGCUGCAGAAUCAUCCUGGAGAUAAGUGGCCUGUUACCUGGGAAGGGAAGGAAGUUAACCUCUCCCCACCCCCACCCUCCCCACUCCUCCAGCCACCAAGGUACGUGUCAGCUGGCCCGGAGGAUUCCGUCAGGCUUGCAUUUCCCUCCAGUGGCCAAAGAGGAAACCACAGCAAGUGUCCCUCAGAACCAGGCAGUCCUCGCUGCGCUUGGCUCUCUCACAGAUCUCAUCCUUGAGCAAGAGGAGGGCGUCUCCUGGGAACAGAACCAAUCUGUGAAAGUCAGCCUGUGCCCAUCUCAAGUUUUUAUCAAGGCUGCCAUGAAUGUGUGAACAGACCAUUUCUAUAAAAGUCAGCCAUUGUACCAUGACCAAUGUUCCCUGCUGUUCUGAACAACUCCCAAAGACGACACCAAGACUUCUGGAGAUGAAGAAACUGAGGCUCAGGAAGAUGGUGAUGUACCCAAGGUCACUUCGCUCACGAGUGGAAGAACUGGUAUUUGAACUCAGAUGAAGAAACUUGGGUCAGAAGACGUGUCCAUGGACAGACAGGGCUUGAGGCAAGUCUUGAAUUUAAGUCUUCCUGACUUCAAGUCCAGCACUAACACAAUGAUCCAUGACCGGGUUUGGAAGCCUCCUCGGGCCUCAGUUUCCUCAAGUGUACCAUGAGGAGUAGGCAAGAGAGCAGUGUUAAGUUGGAUUGGACAGAAUGAAGAUAAUUGCUUUUCACCCAGAGCCUUGGGAAGCCCAUGAGAGGGCAAGGGGUCAUCUGAGUUCGUCGCAUCACCACACCUCCGUUUGGAAUCCUGUAGCAGUCUGGACCAGCAGCCUCCUCCAAGCCAAGGCUCCCAGCCUUCCCAUCAACACUGAGGCUGCUUCCCUCCGAGAUUCACAAGCCCUGGCUGGAGAAAUCAAUGGCUGGGUCUUUGUGGUCCAUUCAUCCAACUGUAGCCUGCCCCCGCCUGUGGGUGUCCUUGCUGAGCAGAAAAGGAAAACAGGAUUGGGAUAAACCUCAGGCUUUCUGGCUUAACUGGGAGGGUCUAGGGCUCUGCUCCCCGCUGCCAGCUUCCCUGCCUCCCCUGGACUGCGCCAGGCAGAUCACUUUCAGGCUCUCCCAAGGUCAGUCCCUUUCCUGAAGGAGGACACAGGAUGGGAGAGCCCGCUGCCCUAAGGACCCGAGGCCCCACGUCAGUGAAUUACCUGCAGCAGGCUCAGCUUUUAUGUGUCUUAGGUCUGUCUGUCUGUGCAAAGGAAAACCAGGUUUAUACAUCCCUCGAUGCAAAUUGUGGCCUAAAUAACUUGUAUUCAUUUCCUUAGAUGAGUAGAUAAUUUGACUGCUGGAUCCAGUGUGGUCCUAUAGUUAGAGAGUGGACCCGGAAUCAGGAAGAGGUGGGGGAGGCUGUCCAGUUUCUCUUCUCAGGCUUGCUGUGGAACCCUGUGAAAUCCCUCUAAGCCUCAGGUAUCAUCAAGUCCGUAAGUUAGCUACUGGGUGCUAUCUGUUUCUGUGAAAGGAAUUAUCAGUAGAGAACUCCUAGGUCCUUGAAGUCUUUGUAUUUGCUUAUUGAGGUACAUGAGGACAAGGUUUGCCAGGCACGCUGCUGGCCUUAAUCCCCUUUCCUAUGCCCUGCCCUCUAGCCCUUCUGGGCUGUACAUUUUUGCCCAGACACAUCAACCUUCUGCUUCAAUGGAACCUCUUGAGACAUGCUGACUCCUGCGGCCAGCUCUCUGGCUCCAGCCAGGCAGGAGGAGCUAAGCCAAGGGGCCAAGGGUCAAGAAGAUGGAGCUGGACCUCUGAGGUCUGCUGGUUGGUCUGGGAGCUGCUUCCGGAGCCAUGCCUGUACUCCCCUGUUGCCUCAAGUCAGGAUUCCCAGUCUGGAAUUGUGCGGUUCCUGGUACUUUACUACAGCCCGACUGUCAGUAAAGUCUUGCUUUUGCCCAUCACUUUCCAGGGAAGAGGGGCGGCAAGCCAUCUGACAGCAUGUAUCCCGGGAGGGAGGGCAGUGGGUUUGGAGUCUGAGGACCUGGAGUCAACAGGUGGAAACAAUGAGCUGGAUUUAAUGUGAUCAAAUUUAAUAGAAAUAUAAAGUCUAGAAUGGAGUUUAAAAACAUCCACCUGUGUGGACAAGUACAGGAUGGGAGAGAGAGCAAGGUGACAGUGCUCAUGAACAGUGUGAUGUGGCAGCUAUCAAUGGUGUGAUCUCAGCCUUCCUUAAGAGGACACGUCCAGGACCAGGAACGCCGUGGCCCCAUCAUCCCUCAACCCGACUGGACCACAUGUGGAGUCGUGGUCAGUCGUGCCAACUGUGUUUCAGGAAGGACGUGGGUGGGAGGGUGACCAGCUGGUGAGGGGACUUGGGACCACACCACAGAAAAAACAGCUGGAGGCCCUGGGACCAUUUAAACUGGAGAAGAGCCUCGCCUUCAGGUGCCUUCAGGCGUUGGAGGGCUGCUUUAGAAUAGAAGGAAGAGACUGCCUUUGCUUGGUCCCAGAGGGCACGAGCAGGAACAAUGCGGCAGAUGCAGAGGGUCCCGUUUUAGUUCGAUGUCAGGAAGAACCUUGGAACAAUGAGAGCCGUUCAAGGGGGCGUGGGCCGCCUUAGCAGGGGAUUGGUUCUUGUUCACUGGAGGUCUUCAGCCAGAGACGAGAGGACCCUUUGUUAGAAAUACUUUAGCUCAAGGGAUACUCGGGAGUCUCGGUCAGGUGCGCAUUAGGUGAGAGGUCCUUGGAGGGCCUUUCCCACUCAAGUUCUGUGAAUCAAUAUCUUCGGUUUUCCAGCUUUGUGACUUCAGGUCAAUCUCUUAAGCUCCUUGGGCUUCAGCUUCCUCAUCUGUGGAAUGAGGGAUUUGGACCAGAUCCAGAGUCCAAAGCUAUAGGUUGCUUCCAGCUCCGAUCCUGUGACUUUCCUCUGCACAGAACAAGGCUCUAUGUGAAGAAAUCGAUCUGUUGCAAACACUCCCGAACAUUUGGAAGCAGAAGGACCCAAAUAAAAACUCAAAGGAGAGGGAAGAAACAGGCAGGAGGAGAAUACAGACAGACAGAGAAACAGAAAAAUA